This 163-nucleotide ribosomal RNA is filed under the name uncultured bacterium. RNAcentral describes it as "partial 16S rRNA". It matches the Rfam family "Bacterial small subunit ribosomal RNA", at positions 355 to 510 of the family's 1533-position model. The record is from RNAcentral.
UAGGGAAUCUUCCACAAUGGGCGAAAGCCUGAUGGAGCAACGCCGCGUGUGUGAUGAAGGGUUCCGGCUCGUAAAACACUGCUGUAAGAGAAGAAUGACAUUGAGAGUAACUGUUCAAUGUGUGACGGUAUCUUACCAGAAAGGAACGGCUAAAUACGUGCCA